Molecule: ribosomal RNA, 631 nt
Filed under: Staphylococcus pasteuri
Lineage: Bacteria; Bacillati; Bacillota; Bacilli; Caryophanales; Staphylococcaceae
Description: bacterial SSU rRNA
Rfam family: Bacterial small subunit ribosomal RNA
Source: RNAcentral
GCAGUCGAGCGACAGAUAGGAGCUUGCUCCUUUGACGUUAGCGGCGGACGGGUGAGUAACACGUGGAUAACCUACCUAUAAGACUGGGAUAACUUCGGGAAACCGGAGCUAAUACCGGAUAAGAUUUUGAACCGCAUGGUUCAAUAGUGAAAGACGGCCUUGCUGUCACUUAUAGAUGGAUCCGCGCCGUAUUAGCUAGUUGGUAAGGUAACGGCUUACCAAGGCAACGAUACGUAGCCGACCUGAGAGGGUGAUCGGCCACACUGGAACUGAGACACGGUCCAGACUCCUACGGGAGGCAGCAGUAGGGAAUCUUCCGCAAUGGGCGAAAGCCUGACGGAGCAACGCCGCGUGAGUGAUGAAGGUCUUCGGAUCGUAAAACUCUGUUAUCAGGGAAGAACAAACGUGUAAGUAACUGUGCACGUCUUGACGGUACCUGAUCAGAAAGCCACGGCUAACUACGUGCCAGCAGCCGCGGUAAUACGUAGGUGGCAAGCGUUAUCCGGAAUUAUUGGGCGUAAAGCGCGCGUAGGCGGUUUUUUUAAGUCUGAUGUGAAACCCCACGGCUCAACCGUGGAGGGUCAUUGGAAACUGAAAACUUGAGUGCAAAAGAGAAAGUGAAUUCCGUGUG